RNAcentral lists this ribosomal RNA (484 nucleotides) under uncultured bacterium. RNAcentral's name for it is "partial 16S ribosomal RNA". It matches the Rfam family "Bacterial small subunit ribosomal RNA", at positions 28 to 507 of the family's 1533-position model. The record is from RNAcentral.
AUUGAACGCUGGCGGCAUGCUUUACACAUGCAAGUCGGACGGCAGCGCGGGCUUCGGCCUGGCGGCGAGUGGCGAACGGGUGAGUAAUGCAUCGGAACGUGCCCAGUAGUGGGGGAUAGCCCGGCGAAAGCCGGAUUAAUACCGCAUACGACCUGAGGGUGAAAGCGGGGGACCGAAAGGCCUCGCGCUAUUGGAGCGGCCGAUGUCGGAUUAGCUAGUUGGUGGGGUAAAGGCUUACCAAGGCGACGAUCCGUAGCUGGUCUGAGAGGACGACCAGCCACACUGGGACUGAGACACGGCCCAGACUCCUAAGGGAGGCAGCAGUGGGGAAUUUUGGACAAUGGGGGCAACCCUGAUCCAGCCAUGCCGCGUGCGGGAAGAAGGCCUUCGGGUUGUAAACCGCUUUUGUUCGGGAAGAAAUCCUCUGGGCUAAUACCCCGGGGGGAUGACGGUACCGGAAGAAUAAGCACCGGCUAACUACGUG